AUUUAUAUAUUUUAAUAAGUAAUAUUGCGUUGAAGUUGCAGUGGUGGUAGAUGUUACCUAUAGAUA
Molecule: transfer RNA, 66 nt
Filed under: Engaewa subcoerulea
Lineage: Eukaryota; Metazoa; Arthropoda; Malacostraca; Decapoda; Parastacidae
Description: tRNA-Phe
Source: RNAcentral